Molecule: ribosomal RNA, 494 nt
Filed under: uncultured bacterium
Lineage: Bacteria
Description: partial 16S ribosomal RNA
Rfam family: Bacterial small subunit ribosomal RNA
Source: RNAcentral
GACGAACGCUGGCGGCGUGCUUAACACAUGCAAGUCGAACGGAAAGGCCUGCUUUCCCUUGUGGAUUGCGGGUACUCGCGUGGCGAACGGGUGAGUAACACGUGAGUGAUCUGCCCCCAACUUGGGUAUAAGCCUGGGAAACUGGGUCUAAUUCCCGAUAGGACUGCAGGGUGGUGCCUGUGGUGGAAAACGAUUUUCUAGUGGUUGGGGAUGAGCUCGCGGCCUAUCAGCUUGUUGGUGGGGUAAUGGCCUACCAAGGCGGCGACGGGUAGCCGGCCUGAGAGGGUGGACGGCAACAUUGGGACUGAGAUACGGCCCAGACUCCUACGGGAGGCAGCAGUGGGGAAUAUUGCACAAUGGGCGGAAGCCUGAUGCAGCGACGCCGCGUGGGGGAUGACGGCCUUCGGGUUGUAAACUCCUUUCGACCGCGAGGAAGCCACCUGGUUGGAAGGGUGGUGACGGUAGUGGUAGAAGAAGCACCGGCUAACUACGUG